CACGUAAGCGCGGCCUGCUGACGUGGAAGGAAAUCGCUUCCUCAAAAACGCGAUUUCCUUCCAUGUCGGCAGGUCACGCUGACGUGG
Molecule: non-coding RNA, 87 nt
Organism: Gossypium raimondii (Peruvian cotton)
Lineage: Eukaryota; Viridiplantae; Streptophyta; Magnoliopsida; Malvales; Malvaceae
Source: Rfam